Molecule: ribosomal RNA, 304 nt
Filed under: uncultured bacterium
Lineage: Bacteria
Description: partial 16S ribosomal RNA
Rfam family: Bacterial small subunit ribosomal RNA
Source: RNAcentral
CAGCAGUCGCCGCGGGAAUACGUAGGGUGCAAGCGUUAAUCGGAAUUACUGGGCGUAAAGCGUGCGCAGGCGGUUAUAUAAGACAGAUGUGAAAUCCCCGGGCUCAACCUGGGAACUGCAUUUGUGACUGUAUAGCUAGAGUACGGCAGAGGGGGAUGGAAUUCCGCGUGUAGCAGUGAAAUGCGUAGAUAUGCGGAGGAACACCGAUGGCGAAGGCAAUCCCCUGGGCCUGUACUGACGCUCAUGCACGAAAGCGUGGGGAGCAAACAGGAUUAGAUACCCCUGUAGUCCCUGUCUCUUAUAC